UACAGAGGUCUCAAGCGUUGUUCGGAUUCAUUGGGCGUAAAGGGUGCGUAGGCGGCGCGGUAAGUCGGGUGUGAAAUCUCGGGGCUUAACUCCGAAACUGCAUUCGAUACUGCCGUGCUUGAGGACUGGAGAGGAGACUGGAAUUUACGGUGUAGCGGUGAAAUGCGUAGAUAUCGUAAGGAAGACCAGUGGCGAAGGCGGGUCUCUGGACAGUUCCUGACGCUGAGGCACGAAAGCGUGGGGAUCAAACAGG
This 253-nucleotide ribosomal RNA is filed under the name uncultured bacterium. Its description in RNAcentral is "partial 16S ribosomal RNA". It matches the Rfam family "Bacterial small subunit ribosomal RNA", at positions 524 to 776 of the family's 1533-position model. The record is from RNAcentral.